This is a ribosomal RNA of 725 nucleotides. It matches the Rfam family "Eukaryotic large subunit ribosomal RNA", at positions 378 to 944 of the family's 3401-position model.
GAAGAGAGAGUUCAAGAGAACGUGAAACCGUUAUAGUGGAAGCAGAUGGAGCCGACGUAUCCAGUGCGUAUUUAGCCAUUGGCGGGUGCAAUUUGUCUGCUCGGGGUUCUGAAAAGUCCUCAGCAGGCGACUGUUGUGCUUGGUGCAUGGUGCACUUGCGUACAGAGUGCGCCGAAUCGGCUGGGCUCGGCGUUUGAGGUCUGGCCAAGAGGACCGGUUCGCAAGGACUGGAAACCCGGACCGGGCGGACAGCGCAUGAGUCUGGCUGCAAAGUCUGGUCGAAUGUGGGGCGGUCGGAGGAGUUUCGACACUGUCGGACUGGGACGCAUGCGUUUCAUCCGGCGGCCUGUUGCUCCGCUGGACGUCUCUCGGCCGGCAUUCGGUGUCUGGUCGGUGACCCAUCUGACCCGUCUUGAAACACGGACCAAGGAGUUUAAGGUUUGCGCGAGUCAUUGGGUGGGAAACUCAAAGGCGAAAUGAAAGUGGGGCACCUGGUGUCUGUGAUGCGAUCCGUGCACGACUCGUUGUGUGGGGAGCAGCAUCGACCCAUGACCAGAACUUGUUCUGUUGUGGAGUCCGAGCGCAGGCUUUGAGACCCGAAAGAUGGUGAACUAUGCCUGAACAGGACGAAGUCAGAGGAAACUCUGAUGGAAGUCCGAAGCGGUUCUGACGUGCAAAUCGAUCGUCUGAUUUGGGUAUAGGGGCGCAAGACUAAUCGAACCAUC